Molecule: non-coding RNA, 325 nt
Organism: Pelobates cultripes (western spadefoot toad)
Lineage: Eukaryota; Metazoa; Chordata; Amphibia; Anura; Pelobatidae
Source: the annotation of a GenBank genome assembly
GUGGAUUUAGAACCACUUUAAAUGAGGUUUGUCCAAUUUGUCCGCUCAUAGAUUUAUUUUAAAGGAUCACUCUGAGUGCCACAACGACAGCAGCCUGCUGUAGCUAUGGUGCAAUGGUUUCCCUCAUGCACACCCAGAGUAAGUAGUCUUGCUGGCACUAGUCACCCUUUCCCCUGUUGUCAGAAGCUCCUAACCAGAAGCAUUUGAGAGAGACGACACUCUCAACCAAUGCAUGCAUGGCUGGCGUUGCUAGUCGACAGGAGAUUCUAGCAACAGCGGAGGCGGAACCCAGGUGAAUUAUCAAACCAUACUUGCAAGAUUUGAC